GGAGAGAUGGCUGAGUGGACUAAAGCGGCGGAUUUCUAAUCCGUUGUACGAGUUAAUCGUACCGAGGGUUCAUUUUG
Non-coding RNA from Nicotiana attenuata, 77 nucleotides. Lineage: Eukaryota; Viridiplantae; Streptophyta; Magnoliopsida; Solanales; Solanaceae. The record is from Rfam.